GAAAUGUUUUUCCUUAACGUCGUAAUACGUUGACUAUGUACUAUCGCGAGUGAAAGUAAACCCCAAAUUGGGGUCCAAAGUUCGGGCUGAAUUUUGUGGUGGAGGAUCCACCGCAGCCUACUACUACGUUGGGUAGUACACUCGCCGCAGCCACACCUACACUGCGCUACGCUUCUCUCGUCAGUCGGAAGACCACCCCGUCUCAAGCACCGGGCGGCCCUGAGUACAGUCGGCCACAGUUCAGCGCCCGCGCACACCCAGGCGAGAGUACCUAACCGCAGAGUAAAGUGGAUAUUGUGUGGAUUUAUAAAACCAAACUUACGACCCUCUUGGCCAUUUAGUUUUUUUUAGUUUUUUUAGUUAAAUUAAAUAUUCUUUUGCACGAA
Cydia splendana is the source of this 386-nucleotide long non-coding RNA. RefSeq lists it as uncharacterized. The record is from RefSeq and is a predicted model, not a curated record. The transcript is spliced from 2 exons. NCBI's taxonomy places the organism in Eukaryota, Metazoa, Arthropoda, Insecta, Lepidoptera, Tortricidae.